CUCGAAGCUCCAAAUAGAUCGUCCUUCCUGGGAGUGCUAGCUCACAUAGAAGGCUCUGAAUGGCUGAUGAAGACUCCUUCCUUUGGAUCAUCUAGACACCUCCAUAUCAGAAGACAGAGCUUAUCAAGGAGGCAGUGUGGAAGAAAGAAGACAAGACUCUGUUAUGAUUUUCUCACACAAAAAUUUAGAGAUGAAAAACCCUAGAACCCACCUUAGACCUCAUGCCCA
This 228-nucleotide long non-coding RNA is filed under the name Elaeis guineensis (African oil palm). RNAcentral's name for it is "long non-coding RNA (EGUI_LNC048528)". The record is from RNAcentral. Lineage: Eukaryota; Viridiplantae; Streptophyta; Magnoliopsida; Arecales; Arecaceae.